GAUGAACGCUGGCGGCGUGCCUAAUACAUGCAAGUCGAGCGAACGGACGCUAAUCUUGCUUCUCUGAUGUUAGCGGCGGACGUGUGAGUAACACGUGUAUCACCUACCUAUAAGACUGGUAUAACUUCGGGAAACCGGCGCUAAUACCGUAUAAUAUUUUGAACCGUAUGGUUCAAAAGUGAAAUACGGUCUUUCUGUCUCUUCUCGCUGGAUCCGCGCUGCAUUAGCUAGUUGGUAAGGUAACGGCUUACCAAGGCAACGAUGCAUAGCCGACCUGAGAGAGUGAUAGGCCACACUGGAAGUGAGACACGGUCAAGACUCCUAAGGGAGGCAGCAGUAGGGAAUCUGCCGCAAUGGGCGAAAGCCUGACGGAGCAACGCCGCGUGAGUGAUGAAGGUCUUCGGAUCGUAAAACUCUGUUAUUAGGGAAGAACAUAUGUGUAAGGAAAUGUGCACAGAUUGACGGUACCUAAUAAGAAAGCAACGGCUAACUACGUG
RNAcentral lists this ribosomal RNA (497 nucleotides) under uncultured bacterium. Its description in RNAcentral is "partial 16S ribosomal RNA". It matches the Rfam family "Bacterial small subunit ribosomal RNA", at positions 28 to 507 of the family's 1533-position model. The record is from RNAcentral.